Molecule: RNA transcript, 7665 nt
Organism: Cavia porcellus (domestic guinea pig)
Lineage: Eukaryota; Metazoa; Chordata; Mammalia; Rodentia; Caviidae
Gene: Vti1b
Gene name: vesicle transport through interaction with t-SNAREs 1B
Exons: 8
Source: RefSeq, a predicted model, not a curated record
CCGGCGCGACCCCGGAAGCGCCUCGUUCAGGGCGGCGGCGGCGGUGGCGGCGCGGCUGUCGCUGUGAUGGCUUUAGGGUUGGGUGGCUGACCGCUGGCGAGGAAGGGUCCCAGCGCCCAGAGUCUCGGCGGCUGCGCCAUGGCCGCCUCCGCCGCCUCCUCCGAGCAUUUUGAGAAGCUGCACGAGAUCUUUCGCGGCCUCCAUGAAGACCUACGGGGGGUGCCCGAGCGGCUGCUGGGGACCGCCGGGACCGAGGAGAAGAAGAAGUUGAUCAGAGAUUUUGAUGAAAAGCAGCAGGAAGCAAAUGAAACGCUGGCAGAGAUGGAGGAGGAGCUACGGUAUGCACCCCUAUCUUUCCGUAACCCCAUGAUGUCUAAGCUGCGGAACUACCGGAAGGAUCUUGCCAAACUACAUCGGGAAGUGAGAAACAUGCCUCUGACAGCUGUACCUGGGGGCCGAGGGGACAUGAAGUAUGGCACAUAUGCUCUGGAGAAUGAGCAGAUGAAUCGGCUACAGUCUCAGAGGGCACUGCUUCUGCGAGGCACUGAAAGCCUCAACCGGGCCACCCAGAGUAUUGAGAGGUCUCAUCGGAUUGCCACAGAGACUGACCAGAUUGGCUCAGAAAUCAUAGAAGAGCUGGGGGAGCAGCGAGACCAGCUGGAACACACCAAGAGCAGACUGGUAAACACAAGUGAAAACUUGAGCAAAAGUCGAAAGAUUCUCCGUUCAAUGUCCAGAAAAGUGACAACCAACAAGCUGCUGCUUUCCAUCGUCAUCUUACUGGAGCUCAUCAUCCUGGGAGGCCUGGUUUAUUACAAGUUCUUUCGCAAGCAUUGAACUUACAGGACGGGCUUUGUGGAUCAGAGCCAUGACCCUGUGAAUGAGUGGUGGUAGGCAGGACAUGGAAUAAGCGUGCUGCUGCUGUGGGCUGACAGUUCAAGGGUGCACUGUGUAGCCAGACUAUGGGAAGAGGGGGUCUGGACAGAAAACCACGUAAAUGUGAAGGAAGAGUGACAAGACCAGUAUGAUAUACCAAGUUUAUCUCCCAUCAUGAACUACAUGCGUCUUCUGACAACUUCAGUAUUUUCCCACCUACACUGAGGGUGAGGCUAUCAGAAAGGAACUAAACUAUCAGAGCAUCCUGCUUGUACCUGUAGGCCCCUGCUCCUCAAGUGGGUGUCCAGCCUCUUGGUUACCCACUUGGCAUCACAUACCAGCAAGGACUUCCAGACUGGGCACAAGCAAGACUAUCACUCAACAUCAUCAUGCACGGACACUGGUUUGUUUCUUGAGACAGGGUCUUGCUAUGUAGUUUCUCUUGGCUAAAGAACUAGCAUGAUCAGCAUGUGUCUUGGUUUGAAAGCCUGAUGAACUCCGCACACAGCAAGGCUUGUGUUUCUGGAUCCAGAAAGCUCAGAGCCAAAGCCUGAAGGGAUUAAGAUCUUGAGAGCCCCCACUUGAAAGGCCUAUUCUCUGUGAUUCCCCACCCUCCCCUGCUCUUUCCAAACUUAAGUGGCAGGUAAGGACUAGGGACAGGCAUGCUAAAGGAGUCAGAGAAAGCAAAGGAUUGGGGCAGUCAAGCGAAGACCCCUACAGGUAAAGUCUGUACCAGCAUUCUCCUGCUGUGUCUCCCCUCUUCUCCUACCGGCCAUGGAAAUUCUCUGUAAAAAUGAUUAAGGAAGUAUAUAAUGGUAGAGUGCCCCAUCGUACUUCUCAGACCUGAACGGUGUAUCCUUGUAUCCUUUACACAGAAACAAUACAUAAUAUUCUUUUUUCCUUUCUUUCUUUUUCGGUACCAGAGUUCAAACUCGUGACCUUGCACUUACCAGCCUGGUGCUUAUGCCACUGAGGUAAAUCUCUGGGCCACAUAAUAUUUUAAAUAAGAUCAUUAGGGAGCUGGGGAUACAGCUCCAUGGUAGAGCACUUGCCUAGUAUGUGUGAGCUCCUGGGCUUAAUCCCUAGUACUAGAAAAAAAAAUUACUAGGUAAAAUAAGCUACAUUGAUGUCAUAAAUCUCCCCAAAUAGUGGCCUAAAUAGUGUGUCUCUUGCUCAUUUAACACUAAAGUACAUACUCCAGUGAGCAGGACCUGGUAGUGGCUGUGCCAUAUGUAGGACUUUACCAUCUGUGUGGCUAAAGCUGGGUCUUCCCCAUGUUUAAGGCAGCAGGAGGGGAAAAGCACAGAGAAGGCACCACCUCUGUAAAGGCCUGUUUUAGAAUUGGCACGUUGCUCUUGCCCAGGUGACUGGCACCAAAUAUAGAUCUAACUUACAUCCAGAGUGAGCAUGGAUUGUGGUAGACGACUAAUCUGCCACAGUGAAUCACUUUUUUAAAAAAUUCUGCCAUAAUCUUUAAGUGAUUAAGAGCUCAGAAUACUAAAGCUUAUUUUGCUCUACGAUUACCAAUUUAAUUGUUCCAUUCUAGUUCUUUAUGGAGUUGAGACAGAAAUACCCAUCCUGAGGUACCCUUUUGAAAGCUUUCUCCUCUGAAGCCCACUGUACCAAGAACAUCAAGGUUCCCAGAGGACCAGGAGACUAGAACUCAGCAUUGGUUUCUAAAGGGUGAACAAGGGCCAGAAAUCAGAAAUAUACAUGUCAUUGACAACAACUGACCAGUAUAAUAACAGUAAGAAGCCCGCAUACUGCAGGAUACUGCAGCAAUGUGAUGUGAGGUGGCAGAAAACAUUAAUUGUUACCCAAAGGAAUGGAGAUUGAUAGGAACUUAAAUUUUUUUUUUUUUUUUUUUGGUCUUUUUUAGACAGGGUCUCUCUGUGCAGUUCAGGCUGGCCUUGAGCUCAUUUUGUAGCUGAGGCUGGUCUCGAACUUGCAACGAUCCUCCUGCCUCAGCCUCCUAAGUGCUGCGAUUACAAACUUGAGCCACCACGCCCGGCUGGAACUUAAAUUUUUUGUGAGACUAGGAUGAACUGAAUAAUACUAAAGCUGUUUAUCACAGUGCUAUGGCAAAUUCUGGUAGUUCAGUGGGCAUAAGGAACGUUCUUUCUAAUUUUUAAAGAAUCUUGCAGUAAUAGUGAUACUAUUAAUAGAGCAGUAAUUAUUAGCAAUACAGCAGAACCAGACAUGGUGAUCUGUACCUGUAAUCCCAGCUCUUGGGAGGCUGAAACAGAAAAAGCCCAAGUUUAUACCAUCCGAGGCUGCACAGCAAUUCAAUACCAAUCUUUAUGAUAUAGGAAACCCCUAAAGAGAGAGGGCAAGACAGACAGCCAGACAUUCUAAUACUGAGGGAUUAUGUGCUUUCCAUGCUUAAAGGAACUGCCCCUUUCUCUAGUGCUGUGCGUCAGGCAACUCAUCCGCAAGUGUAGUCUGGUAAGACUUCAUGUUUCAUGGCUACUCUUUUUUUUUUCCUAAGAAGGCACUGUAGGACAGGACGAGCCCAAAACUUCAAGGAAGCUAUAGGUGUAUGUAUCUUUGGCUAAUUGAGAACAUUUUUUUUUUUUUUAUCAGUACUGGGGAUCGAACUCACAACCGCCUGCUUGGAAGGCAGGUGCUUAUGCUACUGAGCUAAAUCCCCAGCCCCAUGUCUUUGGCUAAUUGCUUCUGUUUACCUCCUUGCCAAAGGAGAACAGAUGGCAUCAGGCUUAAUAACAUGUCCCCCUGAGCAAGCUCCAUCUACCCUCUGAUCACCCUUGGGUCCCCAGGAAUAGAGGGAUCAAGCUUUCUCUGACAGGUUCAGCUGGUCGCACUUUAGCAGCCUGGUUCCAUCAACGGCAGAGUGGAAGUACAAGUUGCUUUGACUUUGUAAGUCACAUAACCACUUUCCAUCAUUCAGAGAUUGCUGGGCUUCUCGGAACACAAAAGACCUGCUAUUGUUAACAUAUUGACAACAGUUCAGUUUCUCCAAUAUCUAACCCGAGAAGGAACAGCAAAAAUCCUUGGAGAUAAAAAGUACACCCUUUACAGCAUGUGAUUCUUAAAAAUUUUUAUGCUUGAUCUUGUUGCAGAAAGGACUAAAAGGGAGAGAAAUCAGGCAGCUGACCACAGCUUUGCGGGUCAGCAACCCUAAUGUGUAGCUCCAGGUCCCAGAGCUGGGGCUGGCAUCCUAGUGAGUCUGCCCAGGAACCUCAAACCAGACAGACUGCAUUCCAGGCCGCUCUGGGCCGAAAGCAGAAUUUACACCUAAUGGCCUCAGUUAAAGGGCCACACUAGGUGCAGGAGAAAGAAUCCCUCUCCUCUCGCUUUGGAGAAGUCAAGUUUCUAACCAAGUUCAGUUGUUUUUAUAAAAUCAGAUUUGACUGAUAUGUCUUAAGAUUUAAUGAUCACACUGGUUAGAGAAUGUGUACCUGAACGUGAUAUAACCUGUUUUUUUCCUGCUCCCCUGCCCUCCCUUCAACCCCUCCUCCACUUACAAAAGCUUUGUUUCUAUGUUUUCCUUUUCUCUCUGUUUUCCCCUUUCCUUUCUCCUAGUCCUCUCCCUUGCUCCCUUCCCCAUUUGAACAUUUUGUCCUUAUACUUUCAGUUUUCUCACACCAGAGAAAAUGCAGUGCUUACACGUGUGUGUCCAAUUUAUUUCACCUAAGAGUAUGGACUGAAGGCCAAGUUCACUUUUUAAACCUGUCCUGCGGCACACUGUGUUGAAUGACAAAGGUUAGUGAGAUAACAAGGAAAAAACUGUAUUAGGGAUUACAGGUUAUAAAUCCAAGAGGCAUCAUUGUGGUUUCUCUCUCUACUCUUUCCUUUUUCUUUUCCUCAAAACUGAGGUGAUAACCCAAGACUUCCCCAAACCUGCUUCUCACAUGACUGCAUCAUUUGGAUAAAAAGUUUUGUGAACAACACAGGCUCACUAGUCUAUCACUGAAAGGGCUCCUUGAAAGUUGGCUUUCUACAUUCCCUACGAAAGAUUAUAAAGGCAAGGAAAUGAACCAUUGGGACACCAAUUCUCUGAAAGCCCUAAUCACAAUGUCACACCCUGCUGUGACAUCUGUAGGGUCACACUAGGAGUCUGGUGUUUCUUUAGCUAUUCAGAGCUUAUCUUCUCUCACAGUGGGAGAGGAAGCGGCCUGGCGGCAUCUUCUCUUCAAACCCCAGGGCCAUCACAGAUAACUUACACAUCCACAGUAUCGGGAGUUUGGUCAUUAAUAGAGUAAGUUUAUUAAACUAGCCAUUGCAGUCCUUUUGGUGCUGCCUUUGAACUGUGCUACUAUGGAUACUGAAGGAAUAAAGCAUCACCUGGCUAAUCAAAAUUCAGCUUUAUUCAAUGAGAACCAUCAUCAUUACCAACCCAUCCUGAUUUUAAAACAUUUCAGUCACCAGUGGUUGGAGCAAACCUGUAAUCCCAGCAUUCAGGGAUUACAUUCUUUGAGGCACAAAGAAGGAGCACCUUGAGUUCAAGACCAUUCUGAUUGGGCCAGGGAUAUAGCUUAGUGGUAUAAGCACCUGCCUGGCAAGCACAAGGUCCUGAGUUCAUAUUCCCAGUAUCCCCCUACCAAAAAAAAAGCCUGACUAUAUAGUCGAAAAUUCUUAAAAUAUAAGUAGAUAAAAAAUAAAAUUUAAUGAGUCAACCAGGUAUGGUAUCACACACCUCUAGCUCCAGGUAUUCAGGAGGUUGGAAGCUUUAAAGCAGCCAGAGUCUGAUGAGAAGACAGGCAGGGAGAGUAGCAGUUCAAGCCAGGUGUAACUGCUAUGACACAGCUUUGCACAGGAUGUGGGGGAAACACCGACCAGAAGAGAACCCAUGAGCCAGGAGGACAUCCCAACAGAGGCAAUGUCUGCCUCUUGAAAGUGUCAGCCAGGAAUAAAAGGGGAGAAGAACCUGCUUAUGGAAAGAUAUGCAAUACUUUAAGCUCACAGAACAAUUCACACCUUCCGUGCGAGCCUUGGGUGCAUGCCUUGGGUGCAUGCGGAGAACUCAGCUGAGCAGGAGGAGCCGGUAGGGUCCAAAUGCUAAAUGCAGUAGAGAGCCAUGGUCUUCAGUUAGGAAGUGACAAAUCAAAUCUACAUUUUAUACCUACUGUUCGGAUAGCAGUGAGGAUGGGCUGGACCACAGUGUGGGGAGAAACACACAGCACUCCAGCAGAAGAGCCAACAGGCUCUGUUCAGGCUCUGCUCCCCACUCAGAUGAAAAUGGUAUGUUUGCAGUCCCAGCUAUUCAGGAAGUUGAGGCAGGAGGGUCCUAUGAGGCCUUGAGUUUAGUCAGUCUGGGUAACACAAUGAGACUCCAUCUCAGAAAAAUAAAGUAAAUAAAGACAUGAGGGAAGGAAGUAGAAAAGAGGGCAGAGAAGUUGUUCAAUAUGUUUUUGUUUGUUUUAGAUACGUUGCAUUGAGGUUAAAUACAUGCAAACAGGAACAAGUUACUGGGCUGGUUUCAGGCAAUAGUUAGUGCCUAAUAUCAUUUUGAAUGAAGUGCACAAUGUCACAUACAGCAGAAUUGCUUAAAAACAAAAACAAAAACCCUGUAUUUGACCAAGGAUCCAACUAACAAUUCAGAAAAACAAAGGACAACAAGCCAUAAUUUACUUUUUUGUUCUUUCUCAGCUUUUUACAGAUCAAAAUCAUGUUCCAAUUUCUCCAUAUUUUCACCAUUUCUACUUGAUUUAUUUUACUUUUGAUGGGUAGCCAUCUUAAUAGGUUUGAGUGGCUAUAAUUUUUACAAAUUUUAUGAAAUGGGAUAAUAGCAAAUGUUUAGAACAUGAUAAAUGUCAGAUAUCUAACAAUGUUGAAAAAAGUAUAAACAAAUUCUUCUCUGCCUUCAUAAAUGAGAAAGACAAAAAUCAGACAAAUCCCAAUAUUGUGUUCUAUAAAUUCACCCAUAUGCAGGUACACCAUUAGUGAUACAAGUUUUUACUACAGCAUCAGCAAAUUACUGAUAUUAUAUUCACCUUCUAAAAGAAAUCUGCAGUAUUAAGGACUGGAAAGUACAAAGCUGAACCCAAAGAAAUAGAUCAUUUGCUGGGCAUGGUGGUAUGUGCCUGUAAUCCCAGCACUCAGGAGGCUGAGACAGGAAAAUCAACCUGAGUUUGAGACCCUGCCUCAAACCGCCUCCCACACACAAAAGAAGUUAUUAAUGGUAACAUUCCAGGUAGGACUGUGUUAAAGCUUAUAGAUAUAAGAUAGAUGCUUUCCUAGAGUCUCAUGUGCUCAUAGAUUGGGCCUUUGGGAGGUGACUGCAUCGUGGGUGUGGUACUGGGUUAGUCCACUGAUUGGUUUAUCAUAGUUCUGAGUAUAGAUAAUGGUAAGCUCACCUUGGGUGUGGGGUGGCACCAACCAAAAGGGAUAGGAAGGCUUGCUGCCUCCUGCCUGCUUUGCCAUGGGCUGUUUCUCCUCUACCCUGCCAUCCUGCCUUGGUGCUAGCUGACUAUGGAUUUAGCUGAAACCUCUUCAAACUGUGAGCUGAAGUAAACCUUUCCUCUCUUAACUUGGGUAUUUUGUCUCAGCAAUGAGACAAGUAAUGAAGACAGUCAUAUACCCCCUCCAGUCCUUGCAAAAACAAGACUGAGAACCUCAAAAUACAAAUGAAGAGCAAACUAAAAGACAAAGAGUAGGAAACAAGGACCUCUUUUGCAAAAGAGAAAGGGAUCAAGAGAUGAAGCAGGAGCGGCAAGACAGGAAGGAAGUGAAAAGAGAGUUCAGAGGUACUUUGUACUUGUACUGAAUGCAAUCAUGUAUUAUAAACUUGUACUAAUAAAAUUAAAAACAUAUUUGCUAUUGAGCCAA